UCAAGGUAGAGUGUUUCUGGGUUC
Molecule: non-coding RNA, 24 nt
Filed under: Cricetulus griseus (Chinese hamster)
Lineage: Eukaryota; Metazoa; Chordata; Mammalia; Rodentia; Cricetidae
Source: RNAcentral